This 72-nucleotide transfer RNA is filed under the name Cordylochernes scorpioides. Its description in RNAcentral is "tRNA-Gly". It matches the Rfam family "tRNA". From Rfam's summary of the family: Transfer RNA (tRNA) molecules are approximately 80 nucleotides in length. Their secondary structure includes four short double-helical elements and three loops (D, anti-codon, and T loops). Further hydrogen bonds mediate the characteristic L-shaped molecular structure. tRNAs have two regions of fundamental functional importance: the anti-codon, which is responsible for specific mRNA codon recognition, and the 3' end, to which the tRNAs corresponding amino acid is attached (by aminoacyl-tRNA synthetases). tRNAs cope with the degeneracy of the genetic code in two manners: having more than one tRNA (with a specific anti-codon) for a particular amino acid; and 'wobble' base-pairing, i.e. permitting non-standard base-pairing at the 3rd anti-codon position. Lineage: Eukaryota; Metazoa; Arthropoda; Arachnida; Pseudoscorpiones; Chernetidae. The record is from RNAcentral.
GCGACGGUGGUAUAUUGGUUAGCAUAGCUGCCUUCCAAGCAGUUGACCCGGGUUCGAUUCCCGCCCUUCGCA